Molecule: transfer RNA, 72 nt
Filed under: Actinomycetota bacterium
Lineage: Bacteria; Bacillati; Actinomycetota
Also listed under: 1 other name
Description: tRNA-Lys
Rfam family: tRNA
About the family: Transfer RNA (tRNA) molecules are approximately 80 nucleotides in length. Their secondary structure includes four short double-helical elements and three loops (D, anti-codon, and T loops). Further hydrogen bonds mediate the characteristic L-shaped molecular structure. tRNAs have two regions of fundamental functional importance: the anti-codon, which is responsible for specific mRNA codon recognition, and the 3' end, to which the tRNAs corresponding amino acid is attached (by aminoacyl-tRNA synthetases). tRNAs cope with the degeneracy of the genetic code in two manners: having more than one tRNA (with a specific anti-codon) for a particular amino acid; and 'wobble' base-pairing, i.e. permitting non-standard base-pairing at the 3rd anti-codon position.
Source: RNAcentral
GGGCCUCUAGCUCAUCCGGUAGAGCACCGGGCUUUUAACCCGGCGGGCUGGGUUCGAGUCCCAGGGGGCCCA